Molecule: ribosomal RNA, 128 nt
Filed under: uncultured eukaryote
Lineage: Eukaryota
Description: partial small subunit ribosomal RNA
Rfam family: Eukaryotic small subunit ribosomal RNA
Source: RNAcentral
CCCUGCCAUUUGUACACACCGCCCGUCGCUCCUACCGAUUGAGUGUGUUGGUGAGGGGCUCGGAUUGGCAGCAGUCGGCGGUGUUCCGCUUGUUGCUGUCGAGAAGUCCUCCAAACCGCCCCACUUAG